Long non-coding RNA from Zingiber officinale, 4560 nucleotides. RefSeq lists it as uncharacterized. The transcript has 2 exons. Lineage: Eukaryota; Viridiplantae; Streptophyta; Magnoliopsida; Zingiberales; Zingiberaceae. The record is from RefSeq and is a predicted model, not a curated record.
AGUCCUCCUUUUGUUUUUCGCCAAAAGCACUUCACAGCCGCCUCAACCGCAAGCUUUGGCAUUUUUCCCCGAUUCAAGCCUUUACAUUUCCCCCAACAGGCAACCUUCUCAUUUUUCCCCAGCGCACUUCACUUCCGUUCCUCUCUACACUCUAGGUUUGUUCCCUCUCCCACCCCCUUCUUUCCUUUCCUUGUUGCGCCAUUAGGGUUCUUCAUCUCUGUAGUGUCGCCGGUAGAAUCGACCUUUGAUAGGUCAUUCUCUUUGGGGUUUCCUGGCCACGGGAAGAAGAGGCAACAUGAGUAAUUUCUGUAAUUUCUUCUGCAAGCCCAAAGACACAAAGAAUAUCCGCAAGAGAAAAAAAAAAGUUGACUCCAACGAGGAAGUCUCCAUUGAUGAUAUUUGUCUUCCGAUCUAGAGACGAAGAAGUUCGCUGACUUCUCUUCUUCUUGCUCCGAGGUUGUCUCCCUGUUCCAGUUUGAUUCGUCCAUGGAGAUUCAGGUCAAGCAUGACAGUUGCGCCAUGGAUGCACUCGAGAUGAAGACCGAGUUCUCCAAGGAUGCCUGCACCAUCAGCGAGUGGGUGCUGAAGAGGGCAGAGGAGGCUCUCAAGGGCAAAUAAGUCUAGAAGAGGGGCGAUGAUAAGAUAUACAAAGGGAUCCACAGGUACACUAAUUACAUUGUGCUCUAAAGGAAUGUGAUAAUAUCUUGACAUAAUAAGUGAUUUUUGGGAUUGAUAAAUGGAAUAGCUAUAGGAUUUAGAGGGAUAUCACUUCUGUCAGAAUUGAUAUUCUUGAUUCAUUCAUAGCCCAUUACAGACUUUAAUAACUGUCCCGCCAGAAUCAAUUAUGCUGUUCUUAUAGACAGCAAAAAAAGAAUCCAUAAUGAUCUGCACUUUCUGAAGUAUGCUCUAUGUAUUUUUUGCUAUGCUAUCAAGGAAAAUCUCAUUUAUCAAAAUCCAUGAGUCAAUUUUCUUAUGUCGUUCUUAUUGAUAAAUCACUACCACUUGCUCUUCAUGUCAUCUAUUUUAUACCUCAGUUUGGAUAUCUAAUUUAUGUAAUUUUUUUGAGCAUGUUUUCUUACUUAUUUGCUUCCUUUUCUGGGGUCGGGGGCUAAAAAUUCUUCCAGAAUAGCCAAUGAGAAUCUUAUAUUUAGAGAAUUGGUGUUACUUUGUUCCUUUACUAGGGAAACUCAUUUGCUAAAUUAAGUGCUUCAAAUUAACUCAUUUGCUGUAUUCAUUAUGUUGGCAGAAGUUUAUUUAUUUGACUAGCUUACAAUGUUGAACACAUGAAAAUUUUUAGCACACAAAAAUGUGCAUCUUCCCAUGUCUAGUUGGUCUCAUUUGCUGAAUGCUCUCUUAUUUCUUCGCUGAAACUGGACGAACUGGAGGUGACGUGCCAUAGUUAUUCUCAGAGGAUACAUUGUACAAAUGCGCUUAUGUCAACUUCCAGUAUUACAUAGUUAUGACGGAUUAAGCUGCACAAUUAUCAAUGCAUUCCAAUUUAUGCGUUCCAAUUUAUGACGGAUAUUUGCUAUACAAAAUUCAUGCAUUCCAAUUUAUAAUAAAUAGCCAUAUCGUUCUUGUAAGGUGAUUCUAGUGUAGGUUGUAUGUUUCUGGUGGCUGGAUUUAUUAAAAGCAAGCAUAAAGAUCCUACUAUAAAGUUAAAUUAUUUAAAUACUGUUUUACUUUGUUUUUGGACAUCCAAGCUUAGCAGUGAUGGCAUAAUGCAUGUUUGUUCAUAUCUCAAUAACAAUAUCUUUAUUUCUUUAUAGUUUUAUACAUCAUCAAAAGCUAGUAUGUUAGAUCCCAAGGGAUUUGAAACUUUCAUUAUAAGAUUAGUUCCAUAACUUUAGUUCAAUAAGCUAUAUGUGUUUUUACACUAGUACAAGACUCUUUGUUCAGCAUUCUCAAGAUUUAUCGCAUUCAAAUGAUUUGGAAUUUGUUUUUUCCAUAUCAAACUAAACUAUAAAUGUGACUGAACAUUUUACUACUAUAGAAUAAUUAAUAGUGUAAAUAUGUAUUGGAAUCUGAUUCACUGAGUUAAGAUGUGUAAUUUUAUUAGUUAUUGGUGCUUAAAUUUAAAUGUGUCAAUAGUGACUUACAUGCUUUGCUUUGUUCACAUGGGGUAAAUUUAGAUUUGACCUUAAUUUUUAUUAAAGACGAUCCUUAUAGAGAAGGGUGAUAAUGCUUGAUGUUAGAUACUUUUGCUAAUAGAUGUUGUUACAAACUGACGUAUGGUUAUGCAUAUUCUUUUACCAUUAUCUAUGGUAUUUUUUUUGUAUGUUUAUCUCAUAUGUACCCAUCAUCUAUGGUAUUUUUUUUUUUAUGUUUACCUCAUAUGUACCCAUCAUCUAUGGUAUUUUUUUUUGUAUGCUUACCUCAUAUGCUCAAGUUCCAUGAUGAUGAUUAUGGUUAUCUUGUAUGUUCAAAUUUUUUUUUUACCAUUACUUUGCAAUUACCUUUACAAAAUGUAUUUAGGCAUCAAUUAAUAAUUCUUUUUAUUUGGAUUGUGACUAAUUGCAUUAAAUUUUUAAUUUUAUUAUGGUAAUCUAAAAUAAAAUGGUGGUUUUGAAUGUGGAUAUUGUGUAAUGCGGUAUAUGAAAGAGAUAGUCUUAGAUGAAGAUCCACAAUGGGAGAGGAAGGUGAAUUUCUUCUUUAUGUAAUAUUGAGUGAUUUGAGUCAUUUUGCAUUAACCCUUAAACUUCUGUUAAUGCUUUAGUUUGCAGGAUCAAGAAACAAACAAUAUUACAAUCAAUGUCAGUAUGAUGAAGUCAGAAGUAAAUGAAGCGAAUUCGUCUGGUUCUAUGUGGGUGUCUAAGUGUAAGCUAUGAUAUAAAUUUUGGAUUGUAACUAGAGAUUUAUGGAUACAAAAGCUUUUGGGCGAAGUUAGUCAAACUUGUCUUUUGUGAAUAUACUUUUGGAUUAUAUUUAGAGAUUUGUUGAUAUAAAAGGUUUUGGGUGAAGUUGGUUACAUGUCUUUUAUGAAUAUACUUUUAGAUUGUAUUUUAUAGAUAUUUGUGAAAUAUUUGUUCAAUUUUGGUGGUGAAAAAUAUUAUGUAGUAAAAUAUUAUGAUAUAUAUUUUUAUCAAUUAAAAUUGUAUAGUAGUAAAAUAUCAUCAAUUACUUCAACACUAUGAAUAAAUGGUGGAGUAAAACAACACAAAAGACUUUGACAAAUUUAAAUAGUAACGUAGUUAAAGAAAUUAUUUACUUCACCACCGAUAAAAUUUGUGAAGUCGUUUGUAUAAAUUACUAUGCUAAAUUAAAAUUUUUGUUGUAGUAAAAUAUUCUCUAUUAUGUCUACACUACGAUGAAGUAAUACAAUACUUUGAACAAGUUAAAUUAUCCAGAAGUAAAAUUAAACAUUUACUGCACUAGAAUAUAAAAGUUGUGAAGUCGUAUACAAAUUUUACUUCAUCAAUCAAUGUAACCUAUGAAGUAAUAUAUCAUUAACUACUUCAGUACUUUUUCUGAUCUCGAUGAAGUAAUAGAGUCAUUUUUACUUCGAAAAUGGUUCGAUUUUGAACCGAUUUUAGACCGGUGAUAGACUUCAGUAAUUGUGUAGCGAAGUAAUAAAUUAACCCUUUUACUUCAUGCGCGUCUACUUCGGUAAUUAUCUACCUAUUACUUCGGAUAAUAGACUUCGGACCCCAGUGGGCUUCUCUCGGCUGUCAAACUCCUCUUUGUUGUCAAGCUAUGAUCCACUGCGAUUCGUUCACCGGAGGGGUUAUCGCUGUUCCAACACCGGUGUAGUAAGGUAAGGAUUAGGUAUAAGCUUAAUUAAAUUCUAAAUUUCCAGUUAAGAGAUUGGUUUAUUAGGUUAAUUAUUAUUUUAGUGUAGGUUGAGUAUGGAGAUUUAGUUGCAUUUUUGUGAUGGAAUAGUGGUUAUGGGUUUGUAUCAGAUUAUGUUGGAAAUUAUGUAAUUUGUUGUUGCUUGGAUAAUUAAUGAUUGGUGGGUUUAGAAGGAAUUAUGAUGAGAUUCGAUUAGUGAUUAAUUGGUGGAAAUAAGGAGUUUAUUGGUGGAUUAAGGAUAAACUUAUUAUUUAACUGAAUUUGGAUCAUUAGGUAGAAUUAUACGUGGAUACAUAUUCGAACUAGGAUUAUGUUUUAGGUUUAGCUAAUUGUUCUAUAUGUGAUUAGCUAAAUUGUAUAUCAUAUUAUUUACAGGACUUGGAUUCGAGACGGGCGUUUCAACGUCGGAUUGGUUUGAUUUGUUCUCCUUUUAAAGUUGUAAUUCACUUGCAUCAGCUAAUUUCAAUUGUGCCCUCUACAAGUAAAACAAAUUCUGCCGAAAAGUAUAUUCAGGUCGAUAAUUAUGAAUUCUGAUUCAUGGGGUUUCUGAACUAUGACACUGUUGAGCAUCAUCUGCAUGAAGCUUUGCUCCAUAUGCAAAAGGAAGCAUCGCCAUGACGAUAGAUCCAGAUGUUCCAACCAUGUAACUUUGGUACUGGGCAAUAGACUUAGGGUCUUUCUUUAAUUCAUGUCAAUAUUUAGAUUGUUGUUUAGAGAAAUUGAUGAGCUUUGUAAAAUAAUUAUUAGAUAAAUAAAAAUUAUGUAUUCACA